UGGGGAAUUUUGGACAAUGGGCGCAAGCCUGAUCCAGCCAUGCCGCGUGCGGGAAGAAGGCCUUCGGGUUGUAAACCGCUUUUGUCAGGGAAGAAAUCUUCUGAGUUAAUACCUCGGGAGGAUGACGGUACCUGAAGAAUAAGCACCGGCUAACUACGUGCCAGCAGCCGCGGUAAUACGUAGGGUGCAAGCGUUAAUCGGAAUACUGGGCGUAAAGCGUGCGCAGGCGGUUUUGUAAGACAGAGGGUGAAAUCCCCGGGCUCAACCUGGGAACUGCCUUUGUGACUGCAAGGCUUGAGUGCGGCAGAGGGGGGAUGGAAUUCCGCGUGUAGCAGUGAAAUGCGUAGAUAUGCGGNGGAACACCGAUGGCGAAGGCAAUCCCCUGGGCCUGCACUGACGCUCAUGCACGAAAGCGUGGGGAGCAAAACAGGAUUAGAUAGCCCUGGUAGUCC
RNAcentral lists this ribosomal RNA (452 nucleotides) under uncultured bacterium. RNAcentral's name for it is "partial 16S ribosomal RNA". It matches the Rfam family "Bacterial small subunit ribosomal RNA", at positions 355 to 796 of the family's 1533-position model. The record is from RNAcentral.